Mycena latifolia is the source of this 93-nucleotide non-coding RNA. The record is from the annotation of a GenBank genome assembly. NCBI's taxonomy places the organism in Eukaryota, Fungi, Basidiomycota, Agaricomycetes, Agaricales, Mycenaceae.
GGCUGGAUAGUGUAGUGGUAAACACACUCCGUAUCCUUUCACCCCAGUGUUUGAUUUAUGGAGAGAUCCGAAGUUUGAUCCUCUGUCGAGCCC